CAGUAGCCGCGGUAAUACGUAGGGUGCAAGCGUUAAUCGGAAUUACUGGGCGUAAAGCGCACGCAGGCGGUCUGUCAAGUCAGAUGUGAAAUCCCCGGGCUUAACCUGGGAACUGCAUUUGAAACUGGCAGGCUAAAGUCUUGUAGAGGGGGGUAGAAUUCCAGGUGUAGCGGUGAAAUGCGUAGAGAUCUGGAGGAAUACCGGUGGCGAAGGCGGCCCCCUGGACAAAGACUGACGCUCAGGUGCGAAAGCGUGGGGAGCAAACAGGAUUAGAUACCCGUGUAGUCCCUGUCUCUUAUAC
This 301-nucleotide ribosomal RNA is filed under the name uncultured bacterium. Its description in RNAcentral is "partial 16S ribosomal RNA". It matches the Rfam family "Bacterial small subunit ribosomal RNA", at positions 509 to 807 of the family's 1533-position model. The record is from RNAcentral.